This 269-nucleotide ribosomal RNA is filed under the name uncultured bacterium. RNAcentral's name for it is "partial 16S ribosomal RNA". It matches the Rfam family "Bacterial small subunit ribosomal RNA", at positions 793 to 1055 of the family's 1533-position model. The record is from RNAcentral.
GUCCGCGCUGUAAACGAUGAACACUAGGUGUUGUGGGUAUUGACCCCUACAGUGCCGACGCUAACGCAUUAAGUGUUCCGCCUGGGGACUACGGCCGCAAGGCUAAAACUCAAAGGAAUUGACGGGGGCCCCGCACAAGCGGUGGAGUAUGUGGUUUAAUUCGACGCAACGCGCAGAACCUUACCCGGUCUUGACAUCGAGGGAAAGGCUCUAGAAAUAGAGUCCCCCACCUUCGGGUGGCCCAAAGACAGGUGCUGCAUGGCUGUCGU